RNAcentral lists this ribosomal RNA (506 nucleotides) under uncultured bacterium. Its description in RNAcentral is "partial 16S ribosomal RNA". It matches the Rfam family "Bacterial small subunit ribosomal RNA", at positions 29 to 523 of the family's 1533-position model. The record is from RNAcentral.
AGUGAACGCUGGCGGUAGGCCUAACACAUGCAAGUCGAACGGCAGCACAGGAGAGCUUGCUCUCUGGGUGGCGAGUGGCGGACGGGUGAGGAAUACAUCGGAAUCUACUCUGUCGUGGGGGAUAACGUAGGGAAACUUACGCUAAUACCGCAUACGACCUACGGGUGAAAGCAGGGGAUCUUCGGACCUUGCGCGAUUGAAUGAGCCGAUGUCGGAUUAGCUAGUUGGCGGGGUAAAGGCCCACCAAGGCGACGAUCCGUAGCUGGUCUGAGGUGAGGAUCAGCCACACUGGAACUGAGACACGGUCCAGACUCCUACGGGAGGCAGCAGUGGGGAGUAUUGGACAAUGGGGGCAAGCCUGAUCCAGCCAUACCGCGUGGGUGAAGAAGGCCUUCGGGUUGUAAAGCCCUUUUGUUGGGAAAGAAAUCCAGCUGGCUAAUACCCGGUUGGGAUGACGGUACCCAAAGAAUAAGCACCGGCUAACUUCGUGCCAGCAGCCGCCGCAG